Molecule: ribosomal RNA, 497 nt
Filed under: uncultured bacterium
Lineage: Bacteria
Description: partial 16S ribosomal RNA
Rfam family: Bacterial small subunit ribosomal RNA
Source: RNAcentral
GAUGAACGCUGGCGGCGUGCCUAAUACAUGCAAGUCGAGCGAACAGACGAGGAGCGUGCUCCUCUGACGUUAGCGGCGGACGGGUGAGGAACACGUGGAUAACCGACCGAUAAGGCUGGGAUAACGUCGGGAAACCUGAUCUAAUAUCGGAUAAGAGAGUGAAACGCAUGGUUCUAUAGUGAAAGAGGUAUUUGCUGUCACUUAUAGGUGUAUCCGCGCCGCAUUAGCUAGUUGGUAAGGUAACGGCUUACCAAGGCGACGAUGCGUAGCCGACCUGAGAGGGUGAUCGGCCACACUGGAACUGAGACACGGUCCAGACUCCUACGGGAGGCAGCAGUAGGGAAUCUUCCGCAAUGGGCGAAAGCCUGACGGAGCAACGCCGCGUGAGUGAUGAAGGUCUUCGGAUCGUAAAACUCUGUUAUUAGGGAAGAACAAAUGUGUAAGUAACUAUGCACGUCUUGACGGUACCUAAUCAGAAAGCCACGGCUAACUACGUG